AGCUUUGCACAGUGGCAGCAUCGUAGCCAAUGAGGUUUAUCUGAGGCGCAAUUAUUGCUAAUUGAAAACUUUUCUCAAUACCCUGCCAUGACGACUUGAAAUAUAGUCAGCAUUGGCAAUUUUUGACAGUCUCUACAGUUUAAAAAAAAGA
This is a small nuclear RNA of Salvator merianae (Argentine black and white tegu), 151 nucleotides long. Its record names the gene U4. It matches the Rfam family "U4 spliceosomal RNA". From Rfam's summary of the family: U4 small nuclear RNA (U4 snRNA) is a component of the major U2-dependent spliceosome. The structure of U4 snRNA from yeast and human has been reported. U4 snRNA presents a k-turn RNA motif in the 5p-SL related to recognition of Snu13 protein. NCBI's taxonomy places the organism in Eukaryota, Metazoa, Chordata, Lepidosauria, Squamata, Teiidae. The record is from Ensembl.